UCCAGCAGCAGGUAGGCCUGCGCGGGGCGAGAGGGGCGCUGGGCACGGCGGGGCAGGGGGGGCAGCGGCACCGGGAGCGCCCCCCCACCCCCCCCCUGCCCCCCAGCAGCACACCCAGUGGGUGCCCGGGGUGCCGAGCACCCGGCAGCGCCCCUGCCCCUGCCCCUGCCUGUGCCUGUCCUGCCGGCGGCCUCCCGCGGCGCGCGGCCGGGCCGUACUCACCAUCUUGCCCCCAGUGGCCCUCAUGUGCUGCUGCUCUGCCAGCCAGUGCUUAUCCUGCGGGUCGGCUGCGUACUGCAAUAAAGCAGCGAGGGCCUGGCUGAGCGCGGGCGAUGCUCCCCCCCACCCAGCUCGGACCCCCCACCUCUUGCCGGGACGGAGCCCAGCCAGCGCUCGGGGGCUGGCGGAGGGGGGCACGGCCCUGCCUGGCCUCGCCCUGGCUGCGGGCGGUGGCCGUGUGGCCGUGUGCCCCGGCGGUGUGCCCUGAGACGAGACGGGGCCGUGGAGGAAUCGCCGAGCGAGAUAAAGCUCCCGGCUCCCAUCACCAACGGCUGCCGAGAGAACCCCGAGGAGGAAGCGUCCCGCCGCGGAGCCUGACCUUAAAGAGGUGGGGAUGCUUGAUGUAGAGCCGCCCUCUUGUUCCUCCCAUCCCGAGAGCUCUGAAAGAGGAACACGAGGGGGGCGUUAGAGCCGGGCGGAGGGGGGCUGCGCGGCACGGGGACACCUCCUCUCCUCCCCAGCCCUUCCUACUGCUUCCGAGGCAGAGAAGUGAAGUGACGGAGGAGUCUUACAGGCUCCUGCCUUGGAGACACCACCCUCCAUCAACAGGGCCGUUCCUUACUUGUUUGCUCGAGAUCCCAGCACAAAGGUUGUGGUUUCAGUCAGUCGGGAUGGAUCCCACUACAGAGCAAUUGGAAAAGGGGCAGCAUUAGAAAUGAAGCUGGUGCCGGCCAGUGCUCCACGAGCCUCGGCGCUCAGACGGGGAACCUCAGAACCGCCCCUCGGCUUGGGAGGGAGCCACAGACCUCUGGAUUGCCUCAGAGGAGGGAGCCUGCUGCUAUCACCCUGCGCUGAUCUAAGCGGUUUCCCCCAGGGGAAACACUUGUGGGAUCCUCCUGGCUACUGCUACGGCUCGCCUGGGUCUGCUAACAGCUGCACACACCACAGAGCUACGGGCUACAGUGUCUGGAGGAGGCAAGAAAGGCUCCCAGGCACUUCUCUUCUCACUUCUCUCCCGGCACUGCAGCAGCCCGGCAGGGCACAGCCCCGGGCCUGUCCUGAGCUGCCACCAGGCAGGGCUCUGCGGGAGGAAGCGAAGGGGAGGAGAGGGUGAGCCCAGCGGCGUCGGCCAGCCAGUACCUUUGGUCCAUCCCUUCUCACGGGCUCAGAGACUUUGAGCUUCCACCUACGGGGAAGGAAAACGAAUGCCCGCCUCCGGACCCUCACCUCUGCUGCACAAUCUCGGUCCCCCCUCUGCCCGUGACCCACCGGUCUCACAGCCCCCUGAACCACCCAUCUGGACCCGUCCCAAACUGCUUCCCGGCAGGGCAGGCCUCUGCCUCCUGCAGCUCUACCUCAGCCCCAACCUUGCCCUCUCACGCCUCCCGCACCUCCCCGUGGUGCCGGGCAGGAGCUCCGGGCAGAGUUUCCCUGCUCCCUGCCUCAGCCGGCCUCGCUCCCCCCCACCCCCUGCAGCUCGGGGCCGUACUCACGCAGCCAUGCCCGAGACCCCGCGAUCGUUCGACAGGCUCUGUCCUGGAGGCCGUCCCUUUCUCUGCAGGGAAUAAAGUCUCUCAUCAGCACGAGGGGAGAGAA
Molecule: non-coding RNA, 1815 nt
Organism: Anas platyrhynchos (mallard)
Lineage: Eukaryota; Metazoa; Chordata; Aves; Anseriformes; Anatidae
Source: RefSeq, a predicted model, not a curated record